UCAUCGGAAUGAUGCCACUUGCUUCAUGCAGAAUGUUGAUCCAUAUGGAUGAAAAUGACAAGAGGUCAUGAGUGUGAAACAUGUUGUUCAUGGUUGGUGUUACGGCCUACUAUUAAUUGGUUAUGGAUCAAUAUCUCAAAAAGAGGUGUAAAUGACCUGGAGGUUUUAUUGUCCCUUGUAAUGAGUAUAUAAUGUAUAACUUCGUAGACAACCUAAGAAGGUGAACGAAACAUCGUGAGUAUGAUGAUGCUGAAGUAACUUUAAGGGCCCAAAAGCGAAGGCGAUGCAAUCAUUAUUAAGGUUGUUUAGAGAUAUGCGGCAAGACCUUCGAAGCCGGUUAGCACAUGUGGUCAAAGAAAAAAACACAGUGAAAAAUGUAGUAUAACUAAGAAGGAAUCGUCUAAAUUCUACGAUUGUGGUCAACUUGAAAAUCUAGCCAACGACUCUCCAAAUAACAACACAAAAGAGACGUGUCAAAUGUUUGUUAUUUGCAACUAAUUGAGAAUAAUUGCUUACUAUAUAUUAAGAAAAGAUGAAAAAGACUAACCGAUUGAAAAGGCCAGAAUAUCUCCUGCCAAUAUCAAUCUUUUCAGAAUAUGUAUGUAGUUUUUCAGUUAAGCAAGAAAUAAAAAGGGAUUUAUUUUGAUGUAGCUGAGUUAGGUGAUUGAUUGAUAACAAGAAUGAACAACAAGUGAUGGGGUGAACAAAGAAAGAGGCAAGUGUUUCUAGGGAGAGUUCAAUGUCAAAAGAUGUGAAUGUGUGUAUGUGUGUGUUUUACUCUUCAUCUACCUUUCCUUAUAUACUCUCUCCUCUUUGUCCUGAACUUUUUGGUGAACCAUGAAAUCUGGGCUUCUAACCAGACAAGACCGAGAUUCUCGUGCUUACAACACCUUGGGCUCUACUUCAU
This 907-nucleotide long non-coding RNA is filed under the name Brassica napus (rape). RNAcentral's name for it is "long non-coding RNA (BNAP_LNC012869)". Lineage: Eukaryota; Viridiplantae; Streptophyta; Magnoliopsida; Brassicales; Brassicaceae. The record is from RNAcentral.